GUGGGGAAUAUUGGGCAAUGGGGGAAACCCUGACCCAGCAACGCCGCGUGAAGGAAGAAGGUCUUCGGAUCGUGAACUUCUAUCCUUGGUGAAGAUAAUGACGGAAGCCGAGAAGGAAGCCCCGGCUAACUACGUGCCAGCAGCCGCGGUAAUACGUAGGGGGCAAGCGUUGUCCGGAAUGAUUGGGCGUAAAGGGCGCGUAGGCGGCCUGGUAAGUCUUGAGUGAAAGUCCUGCUUUUAAGGUAGGAAUUGCUUUGGAUACUGUCGGGCUUGAGUGCAGGAGAGGUAAGUGGAAUUCCCGGUGUAGCGGUGAAAUGCGUAGAGAUCGGGAGGAACACCAGUGGCGAAGGCGACUUACUGGACUGUAACUGACGCUGAGGCGCGAAAGUGUGGGGAGCAAACAGGAUUAGAAACCCGGGUAGUCC
Molecule: ribosomal RNA, 425 nt
Filed under: uncultured bacterium
Lineage: Bacteria
Description: partial 16S ribosomal RNA
Rfam family: Bacterial small subunit ribosomal RNA
Source: RNAcentral